This 254-nucleotide unclassified non-coding RNA is filed under the name uncultured Acidimicrobiia bacterium. RNAcentral's name for it is "contains 16S-23S intergenic spacer region". It matches the Rfam family "Bacterial small subunit ribosomal RNA", at positions 524 to 776 of the family's 1533-position model. Lineage: Bacteria; Bacillati; Actinomycetota; Acidimicrobiia. The record is from RNAcentral.
CACGUAGGCACCAAGCGUUGUCCGGAUUUAUUGGGCGUAAAGAGCUCGUAGGCGGUUCAGUAAGUCGGGUGUGAAAACUCAGGGCUCAACCCUGAGAGGCCACUCGAUACUGCUGUGACUUGAGUACGGUAGGGGAGCGGGGAAUUCCUGGUGUAGCGGUGAAAUGCGCAGAUAUCAGGAGGAACACCAGUGGCGAAGGCGCCGCUCUGGGCCGUAACUGACGCUGAGGAGCGAAAGCGUGGGUAGCAAACAGG